GAACUGAAGAGUUUGAUCCUGGCUCAGAUUGAACGCCGGCGGAACGUUUUUACAUACGCAAGUCGAGCGGCAGCACGGGGCAACCCCGGUGGCGAGCGGCGAACGGGUGGAGUAACAUCAGAACGUACCCUGUCGGGGAUAACGAGUCGAAAGAUUCGCUAAUACCGCAUACGACCCGAGGGUGAAAGCGGGGGAUCCGCAAGACCUGCGCGACUGGAGCGGCCGAUGGCGGAUUAGCUAGUUGGUGGGGUAAAGGCCCACCAAGGCGACGAUCCGUAGCGGGUCUGAGAGGUCGGCCCGCCACACUGGGACUGAGACACGGCCAGACUCUACGGGAGGCAGCAGGGAAUUUUGGACAAUGGGGGCAACCCUGAUCCAGCCAUUCCGCGUGAGUGAAGAAGGCCUUCGGGUUGUAAGCUCUUUCGGCAGGAAAGAAAGGCUCCCUCUCUCUAACAUGUAGGGGGCAAUGACGGUACUACCUGAAGAAGAAGCACCUAACACGUUGCGCAGCAGCCGCCUUAAAACAGCCAUGAGGUGCGAAGAGCGUUAAUCGGAAUUACUGGGGCGUAAAGCGUGCAGGCGGCUGUAAAACAGAUGUAAAUCCCAGGGCUUAACCACAGAACUGCGUUU
Molecule: ribosomal RNA, 630 nt
Filed under: Rhodocyclaceae bacterium
Lineage: Bacteria; Pseudomonadati; Pseudomonadota; Betaproteobacteria; Rhodocyclales; Rhodocyclaceae
Description: bacterial SSU rRNA
Rfam family: Bacterial small subunit ribosomal RNA
Source: RNAcentral